This is a non-coding RNA of Megalobrama amblycephala (Wuchang bream), 747 nucleotides long. The record is from the annotation of a RefSeq genome assembly. NCBI's taxonomy places the organism in Eukaryota, Metazoa, Chordata, Actinopteri, Cypriniformes, Xenocyprididae.
AUCAAUGUAUUUGAAGAAACUGAUAAAACAAACAUCAAAACAUUGAAAAGUAUUAAAAGUACAUCCAGAAUCCUUAAGGAGGAGGAGACGUUCAGUAUUGAGGAACUGUGGUUCAGUCAGACUCCUCCUCAGAGCCCCUCCCACUGCAGUCAUUUAUCUAUUCAGUGUUUUUUAUCAUUUAUCACAUUUAGUUUAGUGCACAUGUAUAAACCUUAAAGAAAGAUACACAGCUAACCUUAAACCAUUAUCAAAACCUGUUUAAACUGAGGAAUCAACAUGGACAGAUAUCUACUAGUGAUUGCCAUUACAGUUUCAGGUGCAUUUGCUGAUAGCAUUGGACCAAAUGACAAGGACACUAAUAUGAUCAUUAGAGAAGGAGAGUCUGUGACACUGAGAUGCUCAUAUGAUGCUAGCAGCAGUUAUGUCUAUCUUUACUGGUACAGACAGUAUCCAAACAGAGAACCAGAAUAUUUACUGUGGCAAGGUGCUCGAGCAUACAAUGGAGGAGAGCUGAUAAAACAGACCAGUCGGUUUCAGUCGACAACUUCAUCCCAAUCAUCCACUGAACUCAUUAUUGACAGUGUGACUCUGUCAGAUUCAGCUCUCUAUUAUUGUGCUCUAAGAGUAACAGCAGCAGCCCACUGUAAAAUAGGGCCAAUCCAUCGUAUGUUCCUCAUCAAGAUCAGUUCCUCUGAUGAUCAGGAUGUGUGUCUGACUCUUCUGUACUGUGAUCUGAAGCCGCUGUGA